Molecule: ribosomal RNA, 299 nt
Filed under: uncultured Gammaproteobacteria bacterium
Lineage: Bacteria; Pseudomonadati; Pseudomonadota; Gammaproteobacteria
Description: partial 16S ribosomal RNA
Rfam family: Bacterial small subunit ribosomal RNA
Source: RNAcentral
GAGUUUGAUCGUGGCUCAGAGUGAACGCUGGCGGCAGGCCUAACACAUGCAAGUCGAACGGCAGCGCAGCAGUAGCAAUACUGUGGGCGGCGAGUGGCGGACGGGUGAGGAAUACAUCGGAAUCUACCUUGUCGUGGGGGAUAACGUAGGGAACUUACGCUAAUACCGCAUACGACCUACGGGUGAAAGCGGCGGACCGCAAGGCGUCGCGCGAUUGGAUGAGCCGAUGUCCGAUUAGCUAGUUGGCGGGGUAAGAGCCCACCAAGGCGACGAUCGGUAGCUGGUCUGAGAGGAUGAUC